RNAcentral lists this ribosomal RNA (253 nucleotides) under uncultured bacterium. Its description in RNAcentral is "partial 16S ribosomal RNA". It matches the Rfam family "Bacterial small subunit ribosomal RNA", at positions 524 to 776 of the family's 1533-position model. The record is from RNAcentral.
UACGUAGGGCGCAAGCGUUGUCCGGAAUUAUUGGGCGUAAAGAGCUCGUAGGCGGCUUGUCACGUCGAUUGUGAAAGCCCGAGGCUUAACCUCGGGUCUGCAGUCGAUACGGGCAGGCUGGAGUUCGGUAGGGGAGACUGGAAUUCCUGGUGUAGCGGUGAAAUGCGCAGAUAUCAGGAGGAACACCGGUGGCGAAGGCGGGUCUCUGGGCCGAUACUGACGCUGAGGAGCGAAAGCGUGGGGAGCGAACAGG